GGACGGAUGGUCGAGUGGUUUAAGGCACCAGUCUUGAAAACUGACGUAUGUGAUGAGCAUACCGUGGGUUCGAAUCCCACUCCGUCCG
RNAcentral lists this transfer RNA (88 nucleotides) under Wolbachia endosymbiont of Tyrophagus putrescentiae. Its description in RNAcentral is "tRNA-Ser". It matches the Rfam family "tRNA". From Rfam's summary of the family: Transfer RNA (tRNA) molecules are approximately 80 nucleotides in length. The record is from RNAcentral. Lineage: Bacteria; Pseudomonadati; Pseudomonadota; Alphaproteobacteria; Rickettsiales; Anaplasmataceae.